RNAcentral lists this long non-coding RNA (399 nucleotides) under Hordeum vulgare. Its description in RNAcentral is "long non-coding RNA (HVUL_LNC001166)". The record is from RNAcentral. Lineage: Eukaryota; Viridiplantae; Streptophyta; Magnoliopsida; Poales; Poaceae.
AAAACCUCUACGGUUGCUUGCGCCGGUAAAGGGCCUUCUUUGUCGUCUGCCUCCAGGUAGCGGACGGCAAAGGCCUUUGUCAUCCGUCAUCGAUGGCAAGCAGAUGACAAAGAGGUUAGACAGCAGCCCGCAUGCACCACAUCACAUCACAUCACAUAAAUCAUUGACAGUUUCUCUUCUUCUUCUUUCCUUAUCCUAUUCUUUUUCUUCUCCUCCUCUUCUUCUACUUCUUCUUCUUCUUUCCUUCUCCUCUUCUUCUUAUUCUUCUUCCUCUUCUUAUUCUUCUUCUUCUUCUUCUUCUUCUUCUUAUUAUUAUUAUUAUUAUUAUUAUUAUUCCUUCUUUUCCUUUUUCCUCUUCUUUCUUCUCCUCUUCUUCUUCUUCUCCUCCUCCUCCUCCUC